Molecule: ribosomal RNA, 473 nt
Filed under: uncultured organism
Description: partial 16S ribosomal RNA
Rfam family: Bacterial small subunit ribosomal RNA
Source: RNAcentral
ACUCCUACGGGAGGCAGCAGUGGGGAAUUUUGGACAAUGGGCGAAAGCCUGAUCCAGCAAUGCCGCGUGAGUGAAGAAGGCCUUCGGGUUGUAAAGCUCUUUUGUCAGGGAAGAAACGGUGAAAGCUAAUAUCUUUUGCUAAUGACGGUACCUGAAGAAUAAGCACCGGCUAACUACGUGCCAGCAGCCGCGGUAAUACGUAGGGUGCAAGCGUUAAUCGGAAUUACUGGGCGUAAAGCGUGCGCAGGCGGUUUUGUAAGUCUGAUGUGAAAUCCCCGGGCUCAACCUGGGAAUUGCAUUGGAGACUGCAAGGCUAGAAUCUGGCAGAGGGGGGUAGAAUUCCACGUGUAGCAGUGAAAUGCGUAGAUAUGUGGAGGAACACCGAUGGCGAAGGCAGCCCCCUGGGUCAAGAUUGACGCUCAUGCACGAAAGCGUGGGGAGCAAACAGGAUUAGAAACCCCUGUAGUCCCAUG